AGUGAACGCUGGCGGUAGGCCUAACACAUGCGAGUCGAACGGCAGCACAGUAAGAGCUUGCUCUUACGGGUGGCGAGUGGCGGACGGGUGAGGAAUACAUCGGAAUCUACUUUUUCGUGGGGGAUAACGUAGGGAAACUUACGCUAAUACCGCAUACGACCUACGGGUGAAAGCAGGGGAUCUUCGGACCUUGCGCGAUUGAAUGAGCCGAUGUCGGAUUAGCUAGUUGGCGGGGUAAAGGCCCACCAAGGCGACGAUCUGUAGCUGGUCUGAGAGGAUGAUCAGCCACACUGGAACUGAGACACGGUCCAGACUCCUACGGGAGGCAGCAGUGGGGAAUAUUGGACAAUGGGCGCAAGCCUGAUCCAGCCAUACCGCGUGGGUGAAGAAGGCCUUCGGGUUGUAAAGCCCUGUUGUUGGGAAAGAAAAGCAGCAGGUUAAUACCCCGCUGUUCUGACGGUACCCAAAGAAUAAGCACCGGCUAACUUCGUG
This 492-nucleotide ribosomal RNA is filed under the name uncultured bacterium. RNAcentral describes it as "partial 16S ribosomal RNA". It matches the Rfam family "Bacterial small subunit ribosomal RNA", at positions 29 to 507 of the family's 1533-position model. The record is from RNAcentral.